Molecule: long non-coding RNA, 726 nt
Filed under: Homo sapiens (human)
Lineage: Eukaryota; Metazoa; Chordata; Mammalia; Primates; Hominidae
Description: HSALNT0268701
Source: RNAcentral
GGAGAGCUCUGAAGUCUUCUCUGAGAUUUUCAAAGAAGUCACCUGCACCGGUGCCCGUGACGUACGAGCUGCCCACACUGUAUAGGACGGAGGACUAUUUUCCUGUGGACGCCGGGGAAGCACAGCACCACCCCCGCACCUGCCCUCGGCCUUUGUGAGCUUUGUGGUCUUCCCAUCAGGAACGCUGGAAAGUGACAUUGUGUACACACUGCAGCUUGGGGGUUUUUUCUUUGUAUUGCUGUUUAUUUUAUAUUUUAAAAAUAUUUAAAAAAAUGUCGAGAUGGGGUCUCACUAUGUUGUCCAGACUGAUCUCAAACUCCUGGGCUCAAGUGAUCCACCCACCUUGGCCUUCCAAAGUGGUGGGAUUAUGGGCAGGAGCCUCCGUGCCCAGGCUGCUGCCAUUUUCAAAUUUCCUCCCUGCCUCAUGUGAGACCACAGGGUUUGGAGAAGCAGUUGGAACCCACGUGUGGUGAUGCCUCCCACAUCGGCCUGCUUGGGGUUCUACAGGGGUUGAGGGACCAGGCCUGGCCGGGGCUGAUGGACAGUGGGGACUUUCCUUCUCUCCAUGAUGGCUUUGCAGGGGCUCCAUGGUCCUUCUCUCUGUGAUGGGUUUUUGCACGGGGUGUGCUCUGCCACUGUGGUGGGUGGGUGGAUGCUGCUUCUGUUGCCUCCAGACCUCGGUGCCCACAGCCUUGAGGAUCCUUCCAAUAAAGGUGUCAAGAGCUC